UACGUAGGGUGCAAGCGUUAUCCGGAAUUAUUGGGCGUAAAGAGCUCGUAGGCGGUUUGUCGCGUCUGCUGUGAAAACUGGGGGCUCAACCCCCAGCCUGCAGUGGGUACGGGCAGACUAGAGUGCGGUAGGGGAGAUUGGAAUUCCUGGUGUAGCGGUGGAAUGCGCAGAUAUCAGGAGGAACACCGAUGGCGAAGGCAGAUCUCUGGGCCGU
This 214-nucleotide ribosomal RNA is filed under the name uncultured bacterium. Its description in RNAcentral is "partial 16S ribosomal RNA". It matches the Rfam family "Bacterial small subunit ribosomal RNA", at positions 524 to 737 of the family's 1533-position model. The record is from RNAcentral.